Molecule: ribosomal RNA, 233 nt
Filed under: uncultured bacterium
Lineage: Bacteria
Description: partial 16S ribosomal RNA
Rfam family: Bacterial small subunit ribosomal RNA
Source: RNAcentral
CAACCUGCCGUCUACUCUUGGACAGCCUUCUGAAAAGGAAGAUUAAUACAAGAUGGCAUCAUGAGUCCGCAUGUUCACAUGAUUAAAGGUAUUCCGGUAGACGAUGGGGAUGCGUUCCAUUAGAUAGUAGGCGGGGUAACGGCCCACCUAGUCUUCGAUGGAUAGGGGUUCUGAGAGGAAGGUCCCCCACAUUGGAACUGAGACACGGUCCAAACUCCUACGGGAGGCAGCAG